Molecule: ribosomal RNA, 1021 nt
Filed under: Harringtonia brunnea
Lineage: Eukaryota; Fungi; Ascomycota; Sordariomycetes; Ophiostomatales; Ophiostomataceae
Description: SSU rRNA
Rfam family: Eukaryotic small subunit ribosomal RNA
Source: RNAcentral
UGUACCGCGAAACUGCGAAUGGCUCAUUAAAUCAGUUAUCGUCUAUUUGAUAGUACCUUACUACUUGGAUAACCGUGGUAAUUCUAGAGCUAAUACAUGCUGAAAAACCCCCGACUUCGGAAGGGAUGUAUUUAUUAGAUUAAAAAACCAAUGCCCUCCGGGGCUCCCUGGUGAUUCAUAAUAACUGGUCGAAUCGCACGGCCUUGCGCCGGCGAUGGCUCAUUCAAAUUUCUGCCCUAUCAACUUUCGACGGCUGGGUCUUGGCCAGCCGUGGUGACAACGGGUAACGGAGGGUUAGGGCUCGACCCCGGAGAAGGAGCCUGAGAAACGGCUACUACAUCUAAGGAAGGCAGCAGGCGCGCAAAUUACCCAAUCCCGACGCGGGGAGGUAGUGACAAUAAAUACUGAUACAGGGCUCUUUAGGGUCUUGUAAUUGGAAUGAGUACAGUUUAAUUCCCUUAACGAGGAACAAUUGGAGGGCAAGUCUGGUGCCAGCAGCCGCGGUAAUUCCAGCUCCAAUAGCGUAUAUUAAAGUUGUUGCAGUUAAAAAGCUCGUAGUUGAACCUUGGGCCUGGCUGGCCGGUCCGCCUCACCGCGUGCACUGGUCCGGCCGGGCCUUUCCCUCUGGGGAGCCGCAUGCCCUUCACUGGGCGUGCCGGGGAACCAGGACGUUUACUUUGAAAAAAUUAGAGUGUUCAAAGCAGGCUUAUGCUCGGAUACAUUAGCAUGGAAUAAUGGAAUAGGACGUGCGGUUCUAUUUUGUUGGUUUCUAGGACCGCCGUAAUGAUUAAUAGGGACAGUCGGGGGCAUCAGUAUUCAAUUGUCAGAGGUGAAAUUCUUGGAUUUAUUGAAGACUAACUACUGCGAAAGCAUUUGCCAAGGAUGUUUUUCAUUAAUCAGGAACGAAAGUUAGGGGAUCGAAGACGAUCAGAUACCGUCGUAGUCUUAACCAUAAACUAUGCCGACUAGGGAUCGGACGCUGUUGUCUUUUGACGCGUUCGGCACCUUGCACGAAAGUACA